GCUGCGGCGCGGUGACGACAUUGGUCCGCGCCCGCAGCCGAACGUUUUCGGCGCCGGGUGGCGGGCGCCUGCGCAGUGGCUCCGAGCGGGCGGUUGCUUGCUGGUUGUUGUAGUAACGGGGGAAGCAGCCUUCCGCGGCCGUGAGCCCGGCUGGGGAAGGAGCAGGGAGGUCGGCGCCGAGCGCGGUCCCCGCCUGCCCGCCCCGAGCCCUGGGAAGAUGAGCCAGGCAGCCUAGGACGGUCGGCACCCCUUCCUCGCUUGGAGGUUUUGUUUGUUUUGCUUUAGCUUAAAGGACAUCCCAACAUUUUGGGAAAGAUCGAGAAAUCCCGCUGGGAAUCUUUGGAAGGACGCCUUUGAGGUUGUUAGAUCUUCAGCCCUUUCCGCUGACGAUCUGUGGAACAUUAUUGGGAUCUGCGUUUUUUGGAGUCUGUGCCAUCCAAAUUGUUUGAUCCAGUGAAUCUGCAAGGAAAGGUCUCUGAGGCCCCCGUCUGCUGACUGCAUGAGAAACCCUAAAGGAAAUGCCAGUCGUGAUGGCCCGGGACCUGGAGGAAACAGCAUCAUCCUCAGAGGAUGAGGAGGCGGUCAGCCAAGAGUAAGUAACAGCAAGCCUGC
Equus quagga is the source of this 612-nucleotide long non-coding RNA. RefSeq lists it as uncharacterized. Lineage: Eukaryota; Metazoa; Chordata; Mammalia; Perissodactyla; Equidae. The transcript is spliced from 3 exons. The record is from RefSeq and is a predicted model, not a curated record.